RNA transcript from Oryza brachyantha (malo sina), 1189 nucleotides. RefSeq lists it as uncharacterized. Lineage: Eukaryota; Viridiplantae; Streptophyta; Magnoliopsida; Poales; Poaceae. The record is from RefSeq and is a predicted model, not a curated record. The transcript is spliced from 3 exons.
AACGCACUUCCAUCAUCAUCAUCAGCAGCAGCAGCAGCCACAGCCAGCGAGCAGCCGCGCGCGCGCGCCGGCCGGUGAGGUGAGGUGAGGUGAGAUCGGCCGGACAGGACAGGACAGGCUAGGCAGGGGAGCUCGCGCCGGGCCGGCGCACGUCGUCGUCGAGGCUGGCCGCCGCCGCCGCCACCGCGAGGAUACCGGCGCCGGUGCGCGCGGUGAUGGCCUGGUGGCGGGCGAAGGUCGUCUUCCCGGCGCGCCGCGCGUGGGCCGCCGUCUCCACCCGCGUCCGCGCCCGCAAGACAGACAGUGGAGGCAGCAUACUGAAGCUUCACGAGGAUGUGCAAACCUGUGGAUACAAGGACGUACAGGUGAUGUUCGAGAUUCUGAAAUCUGAACUGGAGGAAUCACGCACUCCCAAGCAGCGAAAGCCGCCGGCGGCAUGGAGGCCGCCGUCGGCGUGGUCCAGCCGGUCGUCGUCGAUCGCGGCCGCGCAAUAGAGACGACCAUGACACGGACACGGAAUGGCAGCAGCUCUGGUGGCACCGGCUAAUAAGAAGUUAAGAACACCAAAACUUAGUACUACUACUUCUACUUGAUAGCUAUUAGCUUGGUACUUAAAUGUCUAAUCGCAGUUGUCAGGCAUCAUCCCCCUGCCCAUCUGUCCGGCAAAAGUCGAAAAAAUUCAAUAGCAUCAGGUCAUGAAUUGUGACAUAAGCAUCAGAAAAUCUGUACAUACUUACAUGGCGGCUGUGCUGAAUUUUUCGCAAAAACUCCGGAGGAAAAAGAUGGAGAUAGCACAGAUAAUGGAUUCAAACUUUUCCCAAGGAGAAGAAAAUUGCAGGCUCAAAGUUUCUGCCUUUUUCUGUGCUGUGUGGGCUUAAGUGGGUUUUGGCAGAUGCAACUUGUAGGGUUCAUGUCAUGCCAGAAGUUGACACUUAACAGAACUCAGCAACCCCAAAGAAGCAACCCGUUGUAUAUGGUCCUAUGGGCUGUGGAUUUCCCUUGUCAUGAUGCCAUCCUAGUCUCGUAGCUCAUGCCUCCACUAAUCCUUUUAUUAAUAACAUGAAUUUGGUCUGAACAUAUACUGGCAAGCAGCAUGAUUGUACAUGCUUAAUGCAUGCUUUUUUGUUCGGUAGUAGUAAACAUAUAUAUUUUUUUUCAUUCUGAUAAGCUUGGUAUCAAUUUGAAUUUG